RNAcentral lists this ribosomal RNA (460 nucleotides) under uncultured bacterium. RNAcentral describes it as "partial 16S ribosomal RNA". It matches the Rfam family "Bacterial small subunit ribosomal RNA", at positions 338 to 795 of the family's 1533-position model. The record is from RNAcentral.
CCUACGGGGGGCAGCAGUGAGGAAUAUUGGUCAAUGGCCGUAAGGCUGAACCAGCCAAGUAGCGUGAGGGAAGACGGCCCUAUGGGUUGUAAACCUCUUUUAUGCGGGGGUAAAGGUGUCCACGUGUGGAUGUUUGCAGGUACCGCAUGAAUAAAGACCGGCUAAUUCCGUGCCAGCAGACGCGGGAAUACGGAAGGUCCGGGCGUUAUCCGGAUUUAUUGGGUUUAAAGGGAGCGUAGGCCGGUCUUUAAGCGUGCCGUGAAAUUUUGUGGGCUAACCCUGAGAGUGCGGCGGGAACUGGCGACCUUGAGUGGGCGGAAGGCAGGCGGAAUUCGUGGUGUAGCGGUGAAAUGCUUAGAUAUCACGAAGAACCCCGAUUGCGAAGGCAGCCUGCCGCAGCGUUACUGACGCUGAAGCUCGAAAGCGCGGGUAUCGAACAGGAUUAGAUACCCCUGUAGUC